GGGGAAUAUUGCACAAUGGGCGAAAGCCUGAUGCAGCAACGCCGCGUGAGUGAUGAAGGUCUUCGGAUUGUAAAGCUCUGUCUUUUGGGGCGAUAAUGACGGUACCAAAGGAGGAAGCCACGGCUAACUACGUGCCAGCAGCCGCGGUAAUACGUAGGUGGCGAGCGUUGUCCGGAUUUACUGGGCGUAAAGGGUGCGUAGGCGGAUGUUUAAGUGAGAUGUGAAAUACCCGGGCUUAACUUGGGUGCUGCAUUUCAAACUGGAUAUCUAGAGUGCAGGAGAGGAGAAUGGAAUUCCUAGUGUAGCGGUGAAAUGCGUAGAGAUUAGGAAGAACACCAGUGGCGAAG
Molecule: ribosomal RNA, 347 nt
Filed under: uncultured bacterium
Lineage: Bacteria
Description: partial 16S ribosomal RNA
Rfam family: Bacterial small subunit ribosomal RNA
Source: RNAcentral